CUGGCGGCGUGCUUAACACAUGCAAGUCGAGCGAUGAAGCACCUUCGGGUGUGAAUUAGCGGCGAACGGGUNAGGACACGUGAAGAAUCUGCCUUCAACUCUGGGGAUAACUCCGGGAAACCGGGCUAAUACCGCAUAUGGUCUUCGGAUUUAAAGGAUUUAUCCGCUUUGGGAGUGGCCCGCGUACGAUUAGAUUGUUGGUGAGGUAACGGCUCACCAAGUCGACGAUCGUUAACUGGUCUGAGAGGAUGAUCAGUCAGACUGGAACUGAGACACGGUCCAGACUCCUACGGGAGGCAGCAGUAAGGAAUCUUCCACAAUGGGCGAAAGCCUGAUGGAGCAACGCCGCGUGCAGGAUGAAGGCCCUCGGGUCGUAAACUGCUUUUAUGAGUGAAGAAUAUGACGGUAACUCAUGAAUAAGCACCGGCUAACUACGUG
This 438-nucleotide ribosomal RNA is filed under the name uncultured bacterium. RNAcentral describes it as "bacterial SSU rRNA". It matches the Rfam family "Bacterial small subunit ribosomal RNA", at positions 36 to 507 of the family's 1533-position model. The record is from RNAcentral.